UGUAGCUCAGCAGUACAGCACAUGUUUAACAUGCAUGAGGCCCUGGGUUUGAUCCCCAGCA
RNAcentral lists this transfer RNA (61 nucleotides) under Marmota marmota marmota (Alpine marmot). It matches the Rfam family "tRNA", at positions 6 to 65 of the family's 71-position model. Rfam says of the family: Transfer RNA (tRNA) molecules are approximately 80 nucleotides in length. Their secondary structure includes four short double-helical elements and three loops (D, anti-codon, and T loops). Further hydrogen bonds mediate the characteristic L-shaped molecular structure. tRNAs have two regions of fundamental functional importance: the anti-codon, which is responsible for specific mRNA codon recognition, and the 3' end, to which the tRNAs corresponding amino acid is attached (by aminoacyl-tRNA synthetases). tRNAs cope with the degeneracy of the genetic code in two manners: having more than one tRNA (with a specific anti-codon) for a particular amino acid; and 'wobble' base-pairing, i.e. permitting non-standard base-pairing at the 3rd anti-codon position. Lineage: Eukaryota; Metazoa; Chordata; Mammalia; Rodentia; Sciuridae. RNAcentral also lists the same sequence under 3 other names. The record is from Rfam by way of RNAcentral.